GGCAGCAUCUGGCAGCUGUCCUAAAGAGGGAAGAGGGAACUACUAAGGAAGAAAAUAACCCAGGGCAUAGCAGCUUACACUUCUAAUCCCAGCAUUAAGGAGACUGAGGCAGGAGGAUUGUUGCAAGUUUUAUAUCAGCAGCUGGUCCCUGGCCAGCUGGCUGCAGAGCAAGACCUUGUCUCAAAAAAACAAAAAUAAAAGAAGAAGCUAGUAAUGGGUCAUGAGAGGUAGAAGCGUAUCCAGCCUGGGACCAGAGCUCUGUCUUACAGUCUUGCCCAGUCUGUGGGCUUGGGACACCUCAUACUUGUUCUUUACAAUGUCGCAGCCAUUCCCGAGGAAGCCUUCUCUUUGGAAAAAAGGAAAGACGGGAGAAGUGGACCAGUGAGAGCGGUAGAGGAGCCAGGAUUCAAACCAGGGCGACGGGCUCCACAAGUCCUGAUGGUUUUCACUGAUUCCAUUCUCCAAACUAAGAACCAAGAGCCCUAACCUUAAGGGAAAGCUUUGCCGGCACAACCGACACUGCGGACCGGCCGUCAUCUCGCCUCCUCUCCUGCAACAAAACAGAUUACAGCUGGGUGACCCUGUGGUAACUGCGUGUACGAUUGAUUUGAACUUAAAUCCUAGGCAGAGUCGCUCAAGAUUCCUCUCCUAAUGAUAUCAGAGCUGAGUCUCAGGUAACUUCUUGGCCCCACAAACUUCACCGAGAUGUAGCAAAAAUUCAGACGGAUGGAACCAAGGCUGCAGGAACUGGCAAGAACACCACAAGGUGGUUUUCUUAAUUGAGCCACUAAAGAGGCCUGUUUGGUCUAAAUAAACACAUGUUGGAAUUAAUGCCAACUUGCCUGGAGACUGAUAGCAGAUUCCACAUUGCCAAAAUGGGGUCAAAGGGGCGAUUUCACCGAGUAUUUGUGUAUGUUGUGUCAUAUAUAAACAACCAGUAAAAGCCAGGUGUGGUGGUAAACAUCCAGAAUCCCAGUUCUCUGGAGGGAAAAGCAGGAGGAUCCGAAUUCAAGGCCAGCCUGGGACAGAGGGCAGGACCACAUCUCAGAACAACCAAACAACCAGGGAUGUAUGAUGGUUAAUCCUGGUCACCAACUUGACACAUCUGGCAAAAGAGAAUAUCAGUUGAAGAGCAGCCUCUGUCAGCUUGGCCUGCAUGGCAUUUUUCUUGAUGACUGAUGGAUGGGAGAGGACCCAGCUGACUACGGCCAUUGCAACCCUGGGCAAAUGGUCCUUGGUAGUCGACGAAAGCAGGCUAAACGGAAGCAGAUGAAGCAAGCCAGUGAGCAGUGUUCCUCCACAGUCUGCACCUCUCUCCCUUCCCUGAGGUCUUGUCCUAGCUUCCUUUCAUGAUGGACUGCAACCUGUAAACCAAAUAGACCCCGUCCUCCCCACGUGCUCUCUGUCAGUGUCCUCUCACACUCAACGUCGGACAAGGGGCCUGUACGUUCACACCAGCAGGAUGGACUGAAAAGGGCAAAAGCAAGAAGGCUCUCAUGUAAGGACAUGCUGCUCACUAAGUUCACGAUAAAGGCUGACUAUUGUCAUCAUUAUUAGUCGUAAUAAUUCUUACUCUCCAGGUAGGGCAGAGCGCAGCAGACCAAGGCAGGAAGUUUGCUGAGUGUGAGUCCAGCUAGGACUACAUUGUGAAAUGUUGUGUAAGAUGAUGAUGACGAUGAUGACGACGACAAUGACGAUGAUAAAUCUGAGCUAAAAGGGAUGAAAAAUCAAUGCACAAAGUGACAACAGGGGAAAAAAGGAGAAAGAGCUAUGUAGUAGCUAUGAAGCAGUGUAAUUAACAGAAUUGGGUGAGAAGGAGGAGGAAGAAAAGAAGAUGUGGUAGUGGUGGCAGUGAGCUAGACCCCCAUAGCCAAAUGAACCAUGGGACCAGUUUGAGGCUGGAAGACUCAUGAGAAACAACAGCUCUGAGGAAAAGAUAAAUCCAGUUUGAUCCUUAUAAAUGUAAAGGGGCCUAAAAACAUCUGAAUAUUAUCGAUUGGGCUACUAGAUCAGUCCCUCCAAAAUUCCCAGGCAAAAAGCCUUUGGGUAUCCUCAGUUGAAAGGUGAUAUAAAAGGUGAAUUUUCUCAGCAGAGACCAAGGGCAGGAUGGAGGGAAAGCGAAGUCUAGAAGGUUGCUUGAUAACCGUUCAGAAUGUCAGCACAUGGACUUACUUGGAAAAAGGAAUCCGGCAUCGAUCAACUGAGACAAAGCUCUCGGGAAAGGGUCAAUCCACUCUGACUGGUGUCCUUACAAAGAGAAAACUGGAACAGAGGCAUGUGCUCAGAGAGCAGCACUGGAGGAUGGAGGCAGAGAUCCCGGCAAGGAUUUUAAAGGCGGAGGAACCAAGUGCACAGUCCCGUCGACUCCCUCCUCUGACCUCCAGUGACAGCAGCUGGAGAAAGCCAGAAAAAUGUGACAGCACCAAGUCAGAAAACAAAACCAAAAACCUUCAAAGGUCACAGCUGACAAGUGUGACGAAGAAAAAAAUGGCUCUGGUAAUGGAGUCAUCGGCGGCCUUGAGAAGAACAGGCUAUAAGAGUACAAGUGGAAACCAGAUGGCUAGGAAGAAGAAAGUCAAAUUUUGCAAAACUCUGUGGAAGGUAAGAGGAAUUGAAAUGGAGUUAGUGCGGGAUUACUGUGUUGUGUUCUUUCCCCGCCCUUCCUACUUCCGUAGGCACAGUCUCGAGGUGUUGCCCAGGCUGACUUUGAACCCCUGAUCUCAAGUCAUCCUUCUAUUUAAGCUUAUGUAGUUGUGGCUACGGGUGCAUGUUGUCAUGCUUGUCUCUGUGUAACUACUUCAUGGUGAGGGCAAAUGACUGCUGGAAGACUAAGGUUGCUUGCCCUUUGAGAAAGGGUUUCACAUCGCUGAGGGCAGCCUCAAACUGUGACACUUCUGCCUCUACCCCCAAGUUCUGGGAUUACAGAUAUGGGCCACCAUAAGCAGCUGAGCCAAGGCUUGAGGAGAAGAUGCCAAAGAGAAUCACAAGGAAGGAAAAGAGAGUUUUCUGGAGCAUCCUCUUCUUCCAUUCCCCAGCUACGGCAUGCGUGUCGCGCUCUAACCUGGAUCUGUUUGAGCCAGAGACCACAAGUCUUCAGGGAUAUGUAAAGUAGACCCUAGGAGUUCUCUGAGUUCUAUCAAGCUUAUGUCAAGACCUGAAGAACAACAGUUUACAUCUCUGCCUGCUCAAGCCAUUUCCUGCUGGGACCUGUGAGAAAGGCACUAGAGCUCAAGUGACAAUUCCCUACUGUAACUAUCUGCCUUUGGGCCAUUGUCCCAUUGCUAGUACCAAAAUCUAAGAGAAAGGCUGAUAUUUUACAAACUACUAAUAAACAUCCAGUAGCUGGCAGGCACUGUCCUGAGUAAUGAGGUCAGAACAGCUGUGGUAGUUUCUAAAAAACAUUUUAAAAAUAUUUUACAAUCAUUUCUUCAAACAAUAGAGCCUAACUCCUCUUCCUUUCAAUGCUGGCCAGGCCUAAUGACUCACUCCUGACAAGCAGAUACAGCAAAGGCCAUGUUUGACUUCUGAGAAUAGGCCAUAAAAGUCAAGGAAUCCAUCUUCCUCUUUUCCCAGUAAUGAACCACUUGCUCUAAGGAAACCAGUUACCGUAUCAUAGGGAUACUCAAGUAGCUCUGUGGUCAUGGCCAUGUGGUAAUCCAACAGCACGAAAAUGUGCCAUCCUGGAAGCCCUUCAGAUACCUGCAGCCUCAGCCAACAUCUUGACUGACUUCAUGACAGACCCCGAAGGCACAACCACCCAGGCCAACAAUUCCCAACCUACAGGGGUUAUUGAAUGUCUGGUUCUUUGUUUAAUAAAAUAAAAUAUAAUAAGAUAAAAGCUAACACAUUGGAAUUGGACAAAACAAGCAAACAGAGGGGAAAGAGCCCAAGAGAAGGCACAAGAAACAGACCCACUCAUUCUCGCACUCAGGACAAAACAACACUAAUCUGGAAGCCAUAAUACAUACACAGAGGACCUGGUACAGACCAGUGCAGGCCCUGUGCAUGCUGCCUUGUGAGGAGGUCUCAGUGAGCUCAUAUGAGCCUUGCCCAGCUGAUUCAGAGGGCCUAGUUUUUUUGGUGUCUUCCAUCCCCUCUGGUUCUUAAAUUCUUUCCACCUCUUCAAGGGAUUCUCUAAGCCCCGAGGGGAGGGGUUUUAUGGAGACAUCCCAUUUAGAGCUGAGUGUUCCAGAUCUCUCACUCUGCAUAACGGCUACCUGUGAAUUUCUGUAUUGGUUGCAUCCAGCUGCAGGAGGCCUCUGCUCUAACGCCUGCUGAGCAAAGCCAUGGAUGCAUCUGCUUCUUUGGCUUGAGUCAUCUGGUGUUGUCUUAACUCACUAAAUUCUGAGGUAAUUUAUUAGACAGGAGUAGACACACCAAGAGAUGAGAUAAACAUGGUCCUUGUCCUCAUUCUGGCAACAGAUAAUAAUAACCUGUUACUGAACAAAUGUAGAAAGAAUGUGAGUGAUGCUAUCCAGCAAAUACUGAAAGGAAGGAAGAGUAAAGCAGGGAUGGGGGCAGCAAGAAACAGGGAAAUGGCAGAAAAUGAAAAUAAUCAAAUAAACACCAACAGAGUCUACAUGGUUCAAAGUUUCGCAGUAUUUACGACCUGGUCUAUUUGAUUCUAAUAUCACAAUCUAAAACAUUAGGACUUCCUGCCAACACCAAGUGGGUGGGUUUUGUUGUGUCAACUAUAUUGGUUGUGACUAGAAAAUUGCUUUGGAGUUAUUUUGUCGCCAGAAAGUGGGAUGGCGUUUUAUUAUGACAAGCAAAGAGGUUGCCCCAUGGUCGUGGGCUCUGGAGCUGUAAAAUCCAGUGUGUUCGGGUCAGUGGUAAAACAUCACGGCCAAGGCAACUUAUAAAAGAAAGCGUUUAACCUGGGGCUUCUAGUUUGCAUUCCAUUAGAGCAAAGACAUGGUGGUGGGAACAGCUGAGAGCUUACAUCUCGAUCCACAAAUAGGAGGCAGAGGUACAGAAGUGGCACAGGUCCACCCUAGCAACGCACCUCCUCCAAUGAGGCCACACCCUCUAAUCCUUCCCAAACAGUUCCACCAACUGGGGGAUCAAGUAUUCAAAUACCUGAGCCUGUGAGGGCCGUUCUCAUUCAUGCUACCACACACGGCAGCCCAAACGUCCCACUAACUUUGGCAAAUGGCAUGCAGAAACUAACGUGUGUGUGUGUGUGUGUGUGUGUGUGUGUGUGUGUGUGUGUAGGGGGGUCCAGGAAGAGAGAGAGAGACGCAGAGGCAGAUUGAUAGAUAAGGACCAAAUGGACUGGAGGGUUGCACACCAUGAGGCUGGCGAUGCCUCCUUUUACUUACGCUAAUU
Apodemus sylvaticus (European woodmouse) is the source of this 5328-nucleotide long non-coding RNA. RefSeq lists it as uncharacterized. NCBI's taxonomy places the organism in Eukaryota, Metazoa, Chordata, Mammalia, Rodentia, Muridae. The transcript is spliced from 5 exons. The record is from RefSeq and is a predicted model, not a curated record.